GACGAACGCUGGCGGCGUGCCUAAUACAUGCAAGUCGAGCGAGCUGAAUUCAAAGGUUCCUUCGGGAUGAUUUGUUGGACGCUAGCGGCGGAUGGGUGAGUAACACGUGGGCAAUCUGCCCUAAAGACUGGGAUACCACUUGGAAACAGGUGCUAAUACCGGAUAACAACAUGAAUCGCAUGAUUCAAGUUUGAAAGGCGGCUUUUAGCUGUCACUUUAGGAUGAGCCCGCGGCGCAUUAGCUAGUUGGUGGGGUAAAGGCCUACCAAGGCAAUGAGACGUAGCCGGGUUGAGAGACUGAUCGGCCAACUGGGGACUGAGACACGGCCCAAACUCCUACGGGAGGCAGCAGUAGGGAAUCUUCCACAAUGGACGCAAGGCUGAUGGAGCAACGCCGCGUGAGUGAAGAAGGUUUUCGAAUCGUAAAGCUCUGUUGUUGGUGAAGAAGGAUAGGGGCAGUAACUGGUCUUUAUUUGACGGUAAUCAACCAGAAAGUCACGGCUAACUACGUGCCAGCCGCCGCCGUAA
RNAcentral lists this ribosomal RNA (527 nucleotides) under uncultured bacterium. Its description in RNAcentral is "partial 16S ribosomal RNA". It matches the Rfam family "Bacterial small subunit ribosomal RNA", at positions 28 to 523 of the family's 1533-position model. The record is from RNAcentral.